UACGAAGGGGGCUAGCGUUGCUCGGAAUCACUGGGCGUAAAGGGUGCGUAGGCGGGUCUUUAAGUCAGGGGUGAAAUCCUGGAGCUCAACUCCAGAACUGCCUUUGAUACUGAAGAUCUUGAGUUCGGGAGAGGUGAGUGGAACUGCGAGUGUAGAGGUGAAAUUCGUAGAUAUUCGCAGGAACACCAGUGGCGAAGGCGGCUCACUGGCCCGAUACUGACGCUGAGGCACGAAAGCGUGGGGAGCAAACGGG
Molecule: ribosomal RNA, 253 nt
Filed under: uncultured bacterium
Lineage: Bacteria
Description: partial 16S ribosomal RNA
Rfam family: Bacterial small subunit ribosomal RNA
Source: RNAcentral